UUGCGGCCAUGGGUUUGCCUGUGGCCACGCCUGUCCGAGGGUCGGCU
This 47-nucleotide ribosomal RNA is filed under the name Pseudamphistomum truncatum. RNAcentral's name for it is "partial 5.8S ribosomal RNA". Lineage: Eukaryota; Metazoa; Platyhelminthes; Trematoda; Opisthorchiida; Opisthorchiidae. The record is from RNAcentral.